CUUGGUUUGAAUAUUUUCCAAAGGUAGAAUUUAUGAGAAUUUUCUUCAAUUGCCAGGGAGAAGCCAGGAACUCUUAAGUCUUCUGAUGGUGCCACACUGAGCCAAGGAGAGCGACUAUGCAAGCCAUUGCAGAGGAUGGAAAAUCCCUUCUACUGGCUCAGAAACUUGUCACAGGUCCCCAAACACCAGCCAGAUG
Molecule: long non-coding RNA, 196 nt
Organism: Myotis lucifugus (little brown bat)
Lineage: Eukaryota; Metazoa; Chordata; Mammalia; Chiroptera; Vespertilionidae
Exons: 5
Source: RefSeq, a predicted model, not a curated record